CUGCUUCUACUUUCUGUAUGGAGCUGGGAGCGUCUGCCUGUUGGAUGCCCGAAGAGCGUCAGGUUUGAUCCUUGGUAUGCAGAUGAACAUGACGAAUUACGGUGCUCCACGUGGGCUUACAAGUGGGAUAUCGUUUCCGAGAUGACGAACGAUGUCAAUCUCAUGUACCAAAAGUACAUUGCCGAGUUGGACACGAUUACGCCUGAGCAGGUAAGGAGGUCAUUACUUUAG
This 231-nucleotide ribosomal RNA is filed under the name Triticum aestivum (bread wheat). RNAcentral's name for it is "partial small subunit ribosomal RNA". Lineage: Eukaryota; Viridiplantae; Streptophyta; Magnoliopsida; Poales; Poaceae. The record is from RNAcentral.